RNAcentral lists this ribosomal RNA (407 nucleotides) under uncultured bacterium. RNAcentral describes it as "partial 16S ribosomal RNA". It matches the Rfam family "Bacterial small subunit ribosomal RNA", at positions 30 to 526 of the family's 1533-position model. The record is from RNAcentral.
AUUGAACGCUAGCGGGAUGCCUUACACAUGCAAGUCGAACGGAGUGGCGAACGGGUGAGUAAUGUAUCGGAACGUGCCCAGUAGCGGGGGAUAACUACGCGAAAGCGUAGCUAAUACCGCAUACUAUUGGAGCGGCCGAUAUCGGAUUAACUAGUUGGGGGGGUAACGGCUCACCAAGGCGACGAUCCGUAGCUGGUUUGAGAGGACGACCAGCCACACGUGGACUUAGACAAGGCCCAGACUCCGACGUGAGGCAGCAGUGGGGAAUUUUGGAGAAUGGGGGAAACCCUGAUCCAGCCAUCCUGCGUGUGCGAUGAAGGCCUUCGGGUUGUAAAGCACUUUUGGCAGGAGAGCGGUACCUGCAGAAUAUGCACCGGCUAACUACGUGCCAGCAGCCGCGGUAAUAC